UAAAAAGGUACUCAAGGGCACUAUAGUGGAUGCCUAGACGUAUAUUACCGAUGAAGGACGUGGAAGACUGCGAUAAGCUUCGGGUAGCUGUCAACAAGCUUUAAUCCGGAGAUUUCCGAAUGGGGGAACCUAACUUGGGUCAUGCCAAGUUGUCUGCUUCUGAAUAAAAUAGGAAGUGCGAACGGGAACUGGCCGAACUGAAUCAUCUUAGUAGGUCAAGGAAAAGAGAAUAACCAAUGAUUCUGGGAGUAGUGGCGAGCGAAACUGGAUCAGCCCAAACCUUUUAAGUUCUGUUGUAGUUUCUACAACAGUAUGGGUUACAGUCUAAUGCUUAAGGGGUGUUGCGAGUUUAAACAAUUUUAAGAUCGGGUGUUGUAGUUUUUACAAUGUCUGAUCUUGGAACCGACGACUGUAAUCGAGCGGAUAAGGUGAGAAAUCUGAGUUGCUAGCGGAAUAGUUUGAAUGGCUAGCCAAAGAGGGUGAAAGCCCCGUAUGCGAAAGCGACUCUGACCUUAUAUGUUUUUUCUCGAGUAGGCCGGGGCACGAGAAACCCUGGUUGAAUCCGGCAGGACCACCUGCCAAGGCUAAAUAUAAUAUACGAUCGAUAGCGAACUAGUACAGCGAUGGAAAGGUGAAAAGAACCCCGGGAGGGGAGUGAAAUAGAUCCUGAAACUUAGUGCCUACAAGGUGUCGGAGCCCGGAAUCGGGUAAAUCAGCUUCGGUUGGUUUAUCCAAUUCCGGGUGACGGCGUGCUUUUUGUAGAACGAUCCAGCGAGUUAAUUUCAUGCGCAAGGUUAAGUCAGUUGACGGAGCCACAGUGAAAGCGAGCCUGAAUAGGGCGAAUAAGUGUAUGGAAUUAGACCCGAAACCGGGUGACCUAACCAUGAGCAGGUUGAAGCUACUGUAACAGGUAGUGAAGGACCGAACCGUAGUCAGCAGCAAAUGGCCCGGAUGACUUGUGGUUAGAGGUGAAAUGCCAAUCGAACUCGGAGAUAGCUGGUUCUCCUCGAAAUAGCUUUAGGGCUAGCGUGAUGUAGUAGCAUAUGGGGGUAGAGCUCUGUAAAGGACUGGGGCGAGCAAUCGUACCCACCCUUAACAAACUACGAAUACCAUAUGUGUAAUCAUUGCAGUCAGAACGGCGGGGCUAAGCUCGUCGCUCAAAAGGGAAACAGCCCAGACCAUCGUCUAAGGUCCCUAAAUUAACACUAAGUGGGAAACAAGGUGAGAUUUCUUAAACAGCUAGGAUGUUGGCUUAGAAGCAGCCAUUCAUUUAAAGAGUGCGUAACAGCUCACUAGUCAAGAGAUCUUGCGUGGAAAAUGUAACGGGGCUAAGUGUUAUACCGAAGACAUGGAUUUGUGUUGUCCUAUGGGGCAGCAUAAGUGGUAGAGGAGCGUUGAUAUCGGCGGUGAAGCAGCAUUGGAAAGUGCUGUGGAGCGUUAUCAAGUGAGAAUGCUGGAAUGAGUAACCAUAAGACAGGUGAGAAUCCUGUCGGCCGUAAGAGCAAGGUUUCCUGAGCCAUGGUAAUCAUCUCAGGGUUAGUCGGGCCUAAGUCGAGGCGUUGCAGCGUAGACGAUGGACAUCAGGUUAAUAUUCCUGAACCGGUUAUAAUUUGUUAACUAUUCACGGCGUUUAGGUCAAAGCGGAUUCAUGGUAUGUAUCCGUCCAAGGUUCUCGGGAACGAGAACUGAGUGAAAGAUACCCCUCGGGGUGUCGAUUUUGGCUGGUGCGCUGGCUAGAAAAGUAGGUUAACGCGUGGUUAUAGCCGACCGUACCGCAAACCAACACAGGUGCUCGAGUCGAGUAGACUCAGGCUUACGAGUGAGUCUUCGCUAAGGAACUCGGCAAAACAGCGACCGUAACUUCGGGAUAAGGUCUGCCCCCAUAUUUUGGGUAUGAGCCAAGUUUAAAGCAAGAAUGGUUAAGAGUAUACCUUUUAAUUUAACGAAUAUUUCAAUGAGAUAGAGCAAUAAUGCUACGAACCGAGUGAAUAGAGAACUUGUUCUUUAUUCUGAGGUGAGGAAGCAUUAUCUAAAAUAGAUUUUUAAGCUUUAAGCUUGUAACUCUCGUAUCUAGUAUAUGGGGGCCGCAGCUAAAGAGCCCACGGAACUGUUUACCAAAAACACAGGUCUCUGCUAACACGAAAGUGGAUGUAUAGGGGCUGACUCCUGCCCGGUGCCGGAAGGUUAAGGGGACUGCUUCACGGUGGAAACUGAAGCCCCGGUGAACGGCGGCGAUAACUAUGAUCGUCCUAAGGUAGCGAAAUUCCUUGUCAGGUAAGUUCUGACCCGCACGAAUGGAGUAAUCAUGUGGGCACUGUCUCAGCGAAGAGCUCGGUGAAAGUGCAUUGGCGGUAAAGAUGCCGUCUAUCCAUACCAGGACGAGAAGACCCCAUGGAGCUUUACUACAGUUUUACAUUGAUUUGAGUUAUAUGAUGUGUAGCAUAGGUCGGAGACUUUGAAGCAGAUACGCUAGUAUUUGUGGAGUCGCCAAGUGAAAUACGACCCUUGAUGUGAUUUAAAUCUUACUCUUGCCGUUAUCCGGUAAGAGGACCGUGUAUGAUGGGUAGUUUAACUGGGGCGGUUGCCUCCUAAAGAGUAGCGGAGGCGUUCAAAGGUUACCUAACUUCGGAUGGAAAUCGAAGUGAUAGUGUAUGCGCAUAAGGUAGCUUGACUGUGAGGACUACAAUCCAAUCAGACACGAAAGUGGGAGCAAAUGACCCGCUGUAUGAACAUUAGUUCAAUUUACGUGGGAAAGACAGCGCACACGGAUAAAAGUUACCCUGGGGAUAACAGGCUUAUAGCGCCCAAUAGUUCACAUAGACGGCGCUGGUUGGCACCUCGAUGUCGGCUCAUCACAUCCUGGAGGGGGAGCACCUUCCAAGGGUCCGGCUGUUCGCCGGUUAAAGUGGUACGCGAGCUGGGUUCAGAACGUCGUGAGACAGUUCGGUUUAUAUCCGGUAUGGACGAUAGGAAUUUUGAGGAGAGCUGUCUCUAGUACGAGAGGACCGAGAUGGACGAACCGCUGGUGUAUCGAUUGUGGCCACCUGCUGCAUUGUCGAGUAGCUAUGUUCGGAAUGGAUAAGCGCUGAAAGCAUAUUAAGCGCGAAGCCGACUUCAAGAUAAUAAUUCCCUAUGAACUCCCAGAAAGAAGAUCUGGUUGAUAGGCGCAAGGUAGAAGCGUGGCAACACGUGCAGCUGAAGCGUACUAAUAGAGUCAUUGCCUUUUUAUG
RNAcentral lists this ribosomal RNA (3230 nucleotides) under Candidatus Nomurabacteria bacterium. RNAcentral describes it as "23S ribosomal RNA". It matches the Rfam family "Bacterial large subunit ribosomal RNA". The record is from RNAcentral. Lineage: Bacteria; Candidatus Nomuraibacteriota.